GACGAACGCUGGCGGCGUGCUUAACACAUGCAAGUCGAACGGAAAGGCCCUGCUUUUGUGGGGUGCUCGAGUGGCGAACGGGUGAGUAACACGUGAGUAACCUGCCCUUGACUUUGGGAUAACUUCAGGAAACUGGGGCUAAUACCGGAUAGGAGCUCCUGCUGCAUGGUGGGGGUUGGAAAGUUUCGGCGGUUGGGGAUGGACUCGCGGCUUAUCAGCUUGUUGGUGGGGUAGUGGCUUACCAAGGCUUGGACGGGUAGCCGGCCUGGGAGGGUGACCGGCCACAUGGGGACUGGGAUACGGCCCAGACGCCUACGGGAGGCAGCAGGGGGGAAUAUUGCACAAUGGGCGGAAGCCUGAUGCAGCAACGCCGCGUGCGGGAGGACGGCCUUCGGGUGGGAAACCGCUUUCGCCUGUGACGAAGCGUGAGUGACGGUAAUGGGGAAAGAAGCACCGGCUAACUACGU
RNAcentral lists this ribosomal RNA (467 nucleotides) under uncultured bacterium. Its description in RNAcentral is "partial 16S ribosomal RNA". It matches the Rfam family "Bacterial small subunit ribosomal RNA", at positions 28 to 506 of the family's 1533-position model. The record is from RNAcentral.